GGGGGUAUGGCGAAAUUGGUAGACGCAACGGACUUAAAAAUCCGUCGACGUGAAAAGUCGUGAGGGUUCAAGUCCCUCUAUCCCCA
RNAcentral lists this transfer RNA (86 nucleotides) under Erodium absinthoides. RNAcentral describes it as "tRNA-Leu". It matches the Rfam family "tRNA". Rfam says of the family: Transfer RNA (tRNA) molecules are approximately 80 nucleotides in length. RNAcentral also lists the same sequence under 2 other names. Lineage: Eukaryota; Viridiplantae; Streptophyta; Magnoliopsida; Geraniales; Geraniaceae. The record is from RNAcentral.